Macaca fascicularis (crab-eating macaque) is the source of this 1559-nucleotide long non-coding RNA. The record is from Ensembl. Lineage: Eukaryota; Metazoa; Chordata; Mammalia; Primates; Cercopithecidae.
AGUGCGUAGUGGUUCGUUAUUGCUUACAGAAUCAUGCUUUAAUCUUACCACCACAUAUGUGUCAAGAGCUACUCAAAAUAACCUGUAGAGAAUGUAUAAUACUGCUGCUACCUUGUUCUAAAGACACCUAACAGUGCACUUUAUAACCUGCCAUACUGUGGAAUGGCAGUAUUUGGAUAUAAUUGGGAUGUACCUUGCACGAUGGCCAAGGUCUUUAGUAUCAGCAUGCAGUGACUAAUUUUCAUUCACUUCAUGGUGACUUCAAAAUAAGAUUGCACAUCUUGACUGCCCCCAAUUUUUUUCCUUUAUAUACUGCAAAAUUGAAAGUUGUCCAAUUUUGCCCAUUCUUAAGCCUCAGUAGGGCUUCACCCCCCAGGUUCCCCACACCAAAAUUUUCUCAGGGUCACCAGUAACUCCAUAUAUCUAGUAGGUUUUGUUCCUCCUGUAGGCAGCAUUUGACAAGUUGGACUCAUUCCUUGAAAGUGUUAACUUGUUCCCAGGACACCUCCUUUUUCUUGCUUUUCAGUUUCCAAUGGGAGAUGCCUGAUCUCAACACUUUUUCAGUUGCUGUCAUACUCUGCAUCCAGUCUAGCAUCAAAUCAUGUUGAUUGCAUUCCAAACAUUUUAGAAAUUGAACAACUUGCUUCAACCACCACCCUCAUUUCUCACCUAGGUACCAGAGUAGCCUUAACUGGCCUUCCUGCUUAGCCCUCGCCUCCAUUUUGUCUUCUCAACACAGCACCACUUGGCUCAAAACCCACCAAAUGGCGUCCCACCUAGUGGGAUUUUUAUGUCAAAAUACUUAAUUCGGUCUACAUCGCCCUGCAUCUGAUUUCCUUACCCCUCUCCCCAUCGUUGCCCCACGACCUGUUUCUCUGAUCUAAUUUCCUACUGCUGGCACUUAAUCCUUCUGCUCCCACCACACUGGCCUUGCUGCUCCUAGGACAUGCCAAGCAUCUUCUUACCUUGGAGGUUUUAUGUUCCUCCUUUCUUCUGGAUAAUUGGAUGACUGGCUUUCUCCCCUUCCUCAGGUCUUGGCUCAAACGUCACUUUUAUUAGUAAAGUCCUCAUUGUCAAUUCUGAUAACCUCCUGCAGAUCAUAAAGGGCAGGAAAGAAAUUCACAUAUAUUUUAAAAACUAAGCACAUCCUCAUCCCUCUUUUUGUAUCUCCAUGUCUCAUUACGUGACAUACUGCAUGUUUAUAUCAUUCCUGCUAGAAUAUGAACAGCAUGAAGUAUUUGACAGUUUUUUUCACUGCUGCAUUUCCAGCAUCUAGAACAGUGCCCAGUAAACACUCAAAUAUUUGUUCAACCUAAUCAUGAAUUAAUAAAAUUAUCCUACAUGGCAGGAUGUGGACAUAGAGGAAAGAAGUAGUGGAAAGACCUCAGACUCAAGUUGUAGAUCGAUCUAGGGAUAAUCUCUACCACUUACCAGCAGGGUGAUCUUAGGUAAGAUUUUUUUAUCUGAGUCUUGAUUAUUUUAGAAAUUGUUUUAGAAAAUUUAGCUUGGGCAACAUGGGGAAACUCCGUGUCUACAAAAAAAAAAAAAAAAAAAAAAAA